RNAcentral lists this ribosomal RNA (300 nucleotides) under uncultured Desulfurococcus sp. RNAcentral describes it as "bacterial SSU rRNA". The stretch from base 52 to 300 matches the Rfam family "Bacterial small subunit ribosomal RNA", at positions 547 to 795 of the family's 1533-position model. The record is from RNAcentral. Lineage: Archaea; Thermoproteati; Thermoproteota; Thermoprotei; Desulfurococcales; Desulfurococcaceae.
GGUAACGACGGGGGAGGGACGGGGGUAAGGCGCAGGGGUGGAGCGUUAAUCGGAAUUACGGGGCGUAAAGGGGGCGCAGGCGGCAGCGGAAGUCGGGGGUGAAAGCCCCGGGCUUAACUUGGGAAUGGCGCUCGAAACUACGUGGCUGGAGUGUGGCAGAGGAAGGUGGAAUUCCACGUGUAGCGGUGAAAUGCGUAGAGAUGUGGAGGAACACCAAUGGCGAAGGCAGCCUUCUGGGCCAACACUGACGCUCAUGCACGAAAGCGUGGGGAGCAAACAGGAUUAGAUACCCGUGUAGUC